This 495-nucleotide ribosomal RNA is filed under the name uncultured bacterium. Its description in RNAcentral is "partial 16S ribosomal RNA". It matches the Rfam family "Bacterial small subunit ribosomal RNA", at positions 28 to 507 of the family's 1533-position model. The record is from RNAcentral.
GACGAACGCUGGCGGCGUGCCUAAUACAUGCAAGUAGAACGCUGAAGGAGGAGCUUGCUUCUCUGGAUGAGUUGCGAACGGGUGAGUAACGCGUAGGUAACCUGCCUGGUAGCGGGGGAUAACUAUUGGAAACGAUAGCUAAUACCGCAUAAUAGCAGUUGUUGCAUGACAACUGUUUGAAAGGUGCAAUUGCACCACUACCAGAUGGACCUGCGUUGUAUUAGCUAGUUGGUGGGGUAACGGCUCACCAAGGCGACGAUACAUAGCCGACCUGAGAGGGUGAUCAGCCACACUGGGACUGAGACACGGCCCAGACUCCUACGGGAGGCAGCAGUAGGGAAUCUUCGGCAAUGGACGGAAGUCUGACCGAGCAACGCCGCGUGAGUGAAGAAGGUUUUCGGAUCGUAAAGCUCUGUUGUAAGAGAAGAACGAGUGUGAGAGUGGAAAGUUCACACUGUGACGGUAUCUUACCAGAAAGGGACGGCUAACUACGUG